GGGGCUAUAGCUCAGCUGGGAGAGCACAUCGCUGGCAGUGAUGAGGUCAUCGGUUCGAGACCGAUUAGCUCCACCA
RNAcentral lists this transfer RNA (76 nucleotides) under Candidatus Pelagibacteraceae bacterium. Its description in RNAcentral is "tRNA-Ala". It matches the Rfam family "tRNA". Rfam says of the family: Transfer RNA (tRNA) molecules are approximately 80 nucleotides in length. RNAcentral also lists the same sequence under 1 other name. Lineage: Bacteria; Pseudomonadati; Pseudomonadota; Alphaproteobacteria; Candidatus Pelagibacterales; Candidatus Pelagibacteraceae. The record is from RNAcentral.